RNAcentral lists this long non-coding RNA (2617 nucleotides) under Brassica napus (rape). RNAcentral describes it as "long non-coding RNA (BNAP_LNC014120)". Lineage: Eukaryota; Viridiplantae; Streptophyta; Magnoliopsida; Brassicales; Brassicaceae. The record is from RNAcentral.
CAUGCCCUAAACCCAUAUGAUCUUGGCCUGCUUCCUUUGUCCCAGCAGAGCCUGGGGGUGAUUCUGCAAUAGCUAGAUUCGAUGCAAUUGAAUGCACAGUGAAGUUCGCCAAUAGGAUCAUUACAUAAACCAUCAAAGUAGGUGUUUGAGAGAACACGCGCUGGAACAUCCACAGCAAUGAAGCGUGCAUAUCCUUUUUAACCUGCUUAAGAACACCCUCCCUAGUCUGCAACGCAAAGCUGUGCAUCUCCUCGAUCAUGAAGACCAUAGAAGAGAAGGCUUUGUCGAUAGAACAAUAAGUAGACUCUCUAGCUUCUCUAAGCGCCUCUUCUUGUAGCUUCCUCUUAAUCAUUCUAAGGGAGAGAGGCAAAUCAACACUGUUUGCUUUCCGCUCAAUGCUCGAGUGGCUAACCAUCUCCAUCCAGGGAGCUUCCAAAGAAGCUAAACCUGGAACGGACUCAUGUAGUAGUAGCUUCACAUUGCCGAAUCUGUGGUUCCUACGAUCUUUGUUUGUCACCAGGUCUUCUUCUUCGCCUGCAAUCUUGAAUUGUAGGGCUAAUUCUUGCAUCUUCGCCGAGAAUUCUUCGUCGGAGAAGAAACCGGAGCUCGCGCUGCAAACUCUCCGGAGAGGAUAAAGCUUCUUCUUCGUGGAGAAUUCCAAAAGCUCACAAGAUUUGGAUCGGUGGAGUUUCCCACCGAAAAAAGCGGAAGCUUUCAAUCUCGUUUGGCAUGAUAAAGAUCCUCCUCCUCCUAGGACAGAUACAUCUCCGCCUCUUCCCCGAGAACGACGACGUUUUGAAGAGGUUAAGUUUUGCGAGAGAGACGGACGGUGAGGGAUCGCCGCAUGGCGUCCUGACCAAUGAAAAGAGGCUACUUUUACAUCCAUUCUUCCAAUAGAAGAAGACGAAACUCGCAGAAUCUGAGAGAUUGAAAUCAAAAGACGGACAGAAAGGCUCCUGAAUCCGUUCAAAGUUUUAACCUUUCCGGAAAAUUUGGUCAGUCGAAUUCAGAGGGUUAAGCUCCUGAAAUUUUGUUGGGAACAAAGGAAGAAGACAACAAGCCCCUCAAGUUUAUAUACGAACAAGAAGAAUAAUCGGAAAACACAAUUUAGUCAAUUCUUUAAAAACGAAAAAAAAAAAGUUAGUUACCGGAUUUAGCCGGUGGCAAUUUUAUGGAUGGCUCGUGCUAUUUGGGGAAGAGAUCAGAUUUUAGUUAAUCCACGGGUAGAAACGGUAACAGGUGAUUGACCUAAGAAAGUUCGGCUAACUCUGUAACGCGGUUUACUCGGGAGCACGUGCUUUUACUGAGGUCCAAGCGGCCUUCAUCCCGGAUUUUUCUAUUUAUGAUCGGACGGAUCUUAGUGAACCAUGUGUGUUUUUGUUACAACUAGCUUUUAGUAGGCACGUAGGGAGAUUGUUCACGUGCCAUAAAUAAGGUUUGUUGAGAUACUUGUCUUUGCGAGAAUAAGAUCAAUGUAUGUCAGACAGAGAUAUGAAGAGUACUUACUACUAAUUUGGUGGUUUGGAGUACUGUGAAUUUAUAUGAUAAACUAAUAAUACCCACCACAUUGUUUUCACGGCAUUAUUAGUUUUUUCCUUUCAGUGUAUUCGGUAAAAAUGGAAGUAGCACACAAAAAAUAACAUUGUAGUACAGAUUAUGUCAUUGUGAUAAAUGUCUUUUGUAUCAAAAAUGGAAAAUAUUUGAGAAACGGUUUGAAUACAUUUAUAUAUAGAGAGAUUUACAUCCCAAUUUUUUUCCUUUUACCAAAUACAUGCACUAUUGUCAUUUUAGACACACGAUGCAUAGAUCCAUAAUGUAUCUUCAUAUUGAAAGAAGGAGAAAUUGGCUAAUAAGGCCGUAUUCAGACUAGAUUUGUCCGUUUAUACAUUGGGUAUUUGUAAAAUAACCAAAAGAAAAAAAAUAUAGGGAAAACUGUUUUUUUAUAGCAAAAAAAUAGUAACUAUGUCCCUUUAAACUAAUCUAUAUUUUGUGUCAUAUUUUCCUAUAAUACCCUUUAAUAUUUAUGAAAAUAAUUUUAAUAAAUAGUUUUACAAACAAAAAAAAAUUGGAAAAAUAGUAACAUUUGUUAAAAUACAUAUAUGAACUUAAUGGUAUAUUUUCCAGUUAUAAAAAAGUUAAAAUUAUAAAUUUCAGAUUAUGUUCUAAAAAAAGUAGAAAUGACAUUCUACGAAGUAGAAAACGAAAUCUACUUUUUUCAUUGAAUCUACAAUGUUUAGAAUACGUGAUCUACGUAAAUAACCCUUGUCCUAAAACUGAGUCUCCUUGUGUAGAUAAGUGGAACAUCUUGUCAACAGUGCCAUUCACUACAUGCCCUAAACCCAUAUGAUCUUGGCCUGCUUCCUUUGUCCCAGCAGAGCCUGGGGGUGAUUCUGCAAUAGCUAGAUUCGAUGCAAUUGAAUGCACAGUGAAGUUCGCCAAUAGGAUCAUUACAUAAACCAUCAAAGUAGGUGUUUGAGAGAACACGCGCUGGAACAUCCACAGCAAUGAAGCGUGCAUAUCCUUUUUAACCUGCUUAAGAACACCCUCCCUAGUCUGCAACGCAAAGCUGUGCAUCUCCUCGAUCAUGAAGACCAUAGAAGAGAAGGCUUUGUCGAUA